AUGGGAGCCUAUAUCUGUUCUUCCUGGUGGAACCCGCAUUCCAAGUUCGGAGGAGGAUGGGGAAACUCUGGAGCAAAAAUGAGAUGGUCUUGGGGGGUAGGGGAAGCAUUGAGUCCAUCAAAGAUUUCCUCUCUCACCCAAAGCAAUGCUGUACUCAGAGUCACAGACCACCAGAGACCAUCUACUCCAUCCUCCACACCCUUCUAUGUGAUCCCUAAAGAAAAUCCAGUCUGUAAUUCCCUUGGUCCCCUGCCCAGGCAUUACCCUUCCCAGGAUCCCCAGAUCUUGGGGUUCACAUCAAAUCCUUGGACCCCAAUGACCCCUCCCAACUCCCACCAUAAUCCAACAACAAAAACAACAACAAAACAAACCAAAGGACACCCUUGGUCCCAACCCCACACUCCCCCUUUCCCAGCUCCUGAUUCCCAGGCUCUCGGACUCCUAUUCAAUGCUUUGGACAGGAGUUGGCAAGAGGCAGGAGGGACAGUCCCCCCCAACCCCAGACUUUUCUGUUACAGUUUCCGUAGAUCUCAUGUUGAUCGCUCAAGGGCAAAAUACAGGUGAAAGAGGGGUGGGGAGAGAGGGAGGAGAGGAGAUGCUGCGUAGAGUGAGAUCAAGUACCAGAGAUUUCUCUCUGGGAACAUGAUAUAAUGGAGAGAGAAAAAGAAUUUGCUUUACUGGUGUCCUCUUCAGUUGUUGUUUUUUGUGUGCGUGUUUUGUUUUGUUUGCUUUGUUUUCUCCAAGAUUUCUUUUUCCAUUUUAUAUUUUAUCAAUAUUAUGGGACUAGUUAAUCUGUUUCUUGCUUCUUGCUUCCUGCACCUAUCCCACAAUGCCCUCGCACACACACACACACACACACACACACACACCCAUGCAUCAUAGAUUGGAAGCCACCACAGGCCCAGGACUGAGCUCUCUUAUCCUUGGCCGACCCAUCAACAAAUACAUACACAGACUGCCCAGUUCCAAGGGCACAAUAUUGGGACUGGGAUGGGGGAGGGGAUCUAACGCUGCCCUUCCUCCUUCCCCUUCCCUCCUACCUGUCCCCUCGCCUCCUGCCUCAGUUUCCCUCUCUUCCCUCCCCUUCUUCUGCGCCUCACACCCUAUUUGAUUAUAACAUUGUAUGAUGCAGCCCUUACGGUCUAGCCGAUGCGCCUACCUAAAUACCAUUUAUUGAAAGUGACGAUGGUUUGUUCCCUAUGCAAAAAAAAGAAAAAAUAUUCCAAAAAAAAGAAAAAAAUGUAUAAAACAUUAAACAAGCUAUGCUCCAACUCUAUAUGUGUCCCUCAGACUCUCCUUUCUGCGGCUGGGGUUGAGGGAACUGAAAAUGGGAAGGGGUUAAGGGAGGGACCAAGGGGGGUGGGCUAUUUGAGUAAGUGACUUUUGUCCUGGAGAGAGAAAGUGUGUGUAUGUGUGUAAGGGAGAGAAGGACAGACAGACAGACAGAGAAAGAAGAGGAGGAAGAUAAGAAUUGCAGUACAACCCAUCGAAUUCUCCUUGUACCCGAACAAGAAUGCUAUCUCCAGUAAUAUCCCCAGCUACUACUCCAGACUCACCUCGAAGGCAUAGGGAACCUGCCACCAACCGAGGACGUCCGUUCGGAGUAGCUCUAAUUGCAGAUGUCUGUUCUUUCAUUCCUCUUUACGGCUGUCACCUGUUGAGACUCAUUCUAUCUUUAGGGCCAGGUCUCUCCUCCUCACAACAGCUCUUCAAACACCUGAGAACAGCUUCUCCAGGAAAAGGAUCCAGGAUUAGUUUUGGAGGCUGGAAGUGGAUUUGGGGCUUGAGAAAGGGUCUUUUUGUUGAAUUCUAUUAAAUUGAGGCAAUAUUUUCUCUACACUGGGUCCCAGAGAUAUGGCCUGACUCAGAAAUCCUUCACAGAAGACAUGGCUGGUCAUGGUCAAGAGUUUGUAUAUGUUUAUCUGUGCCUUAAUGAUAUUUAAUGUACUGUUAAUGAUCAUGGUAAAAGCUAGCAUUUAUAGCUAUUUAUAUUUAUUAUUUAUAUUAUAUUAUUGUAGUUAUAUGUAUUUAUUAUUUAUAUUUAAAUAGCACUUUAAGAUAUAUAUAUAUAUAUAUAUAUAUAUA
RNAcentral lists this long non-coding RNA (2085 nucleotides) under Sarcophilus harrisii (Tasmanian devil). RNAcentral describes it as "lncRNA (ENSSHAG00000029194.1)". Lineage: Eukaryota; Metazoa; Chordata; Mammalia; Dasyuromorphia; Dasyuridae. The record is from RNAcentral.